Rosa rugosa (rugosa rose) is the source of this 409-nucleotide long non-coding RNA. RefSeq lists it as uncharacterized. The transcript is spliced from 4 exons. The record is from RefSeq and is a predicted model, not a curated record. Lineage: Eukaryota; Viridiplantae; Streptophyta; Magnoliopsida; Rosales; Rosaceae.
GUAUUCUUGGGCUUCUCUAGAGUUUUUACUGUGGAAAAACUCAAUUGGAAACUGAUUAAGGUCUGGAUCCCUGUUAAUGUAAUCUUCAUCGACAUAUGCUUGUAUCAGGCAUGUAUAGAUCCUGAUUUCCUAUUUUAUGAAGACAUCGCAUCAUGAAGAGUAUCUCUGUGUCAAGAUCUCAUAUCAAGGCAUCGGAAUUGGUGCGAUGUUGGGAGAUACAACAGAGUGGAGGAAAUGUUGAACACUGGAAUAGUGCCAAAGUAACCCUAUGCAAUCAUUGGGAGAUCAAGCUUGGAACACCCAGCAAAUUGUUUUCUUCUUUAUCAUCAUGUAAAGCUUAUGAAACUUGAAAGCUUGUUAAGCUAAUGAAAUAGAUUAAUGCUUUAUGAAAUUGUCUUUGUUGGAUCUA